CCUACGGGUGGCAGCAGUGGGGAAUAUUGGGCAAUGGGCGCAAGCCUGACCCAGCAACGCCGCGUGAAGGAAGACGGCCCUCGGGUUGUUAACUUCUUUUCUCAGGGAGGAAGAAUGUGACGGUACCUGAGGAAUAAGCCACGGCUAACUACGUGCCAGCAGCCGCGGCAAUACGUAGGGGGCAAGCGUUAGUCGGAUUUACUGGGUGUAAAGGGCGUGUAGGCGGGGAGGCGAGGUAGAUGGGAAAACGACGGGCUCAACCUGUGGCGUGCCUUUGAAACUGUUUUUCUUGAGUACUGGAGAGGCAGACGGAAUUCCUAGUGUAGCGGUGAAAUGCGUAGAUAUUAGGAGGAACACCAGUGGCGAAGGCGGUCUGCUGGACAGCAACUGACGCUGAGGCGCGAAAGCGUGGGGAGCAAACAGGAUUAGAUACCCCUGUAGUC
RNAcentral lists this ribosomal RNA (443 nucleotides) under uncultured bacterium. RNAcentral describes it as "partial 16S ribosomal RNA". It matches the Rfam family "Bacterial small subunit ribosomal RNA", at positions 338 to 795 of the family's 1533-position model. The record is from RNAcentral.